ACCACUAUUAACUGUUAUUUUAUUUUUUUUUGAAAUAUAAGUAGCACGCUACCUGUUUUGUUUAUUUCAUUUAGAAAUAAACUUAGCUGAAAAUAUGAAUCAACUAGCAUUCGAACUUGGGUCUCGGAUAUCAACCACCAAACUCUUUGCCACUUGCUCUGUAAACGGUUGGUACUAACUAUUAUUUGUUAGAAUCCAAUAGUUCCCUAGUUAGCAUUAGCAUGCAUCAACAUUUUGGAAUCAGCUUCGGGGCCUGGCUGUCCCACCCUUGUAGCCUAAUUCAUCAUUCCGUUGAAUGAAGCGGGUAGCGUGCUACCUUUUUCUCAAAAAAAAAAAAAAAAAAAAAUU
This 348-nucleotide long non-coding RNA is filed under the name Ananas comosus (pineapple). RNAcentral describes it as "long non-coding RNA (ACOM_LNC011166)". The record is from RNAcentral. Lineage: Eukaryota; Viridiplantae; Streptophyta; Magnoliopsida; Poales; Bromeliaceae.